Molecule: ribosomal RNA, 458 nt
Filed under: uncultured bacterium
Lineage: Bacteria
Description: partial 16S ribosomal RNA
Rfam family: Bacterial small subunit ribosomal RNA
Source: RNAcentral
CCUACGGGUGGCAGCAGUGAGGAAUAUUGGUCAAUGGGCGAGAGCCUGAACCAGCCAAGUCGCGUGAGGGAGUACUGCCCUAUGGGUUGUAAACCUCUUUUGUCGGGGAGCAAAAGCCGGACGUUUCCGGCUGUGAGAGUACCCGAAGAAAAAGCAUCGGCUAACUCCGUGCCAGCAGCCGCGGUAAUACGGAGGAUGCGAGCGUUAUCCGGAUUUAUUGGGUUUAAAGGGUGCGCAGGCGGAUUUUUAAGUCUGUGGUAAAAUCGUGGGGCGCAACCCCAUCCAGCCGUUGAAACUGGGGAUCUAGAGUGUGCGAGAGGUAUGCGGAAUGCGUGGUGUAGCGGUGAAAUGCAUAGAUAUCACGCAGAACCCCGAUUGCGAAGGCAGCAUACCGGUGCACAACUGACGCUCAGGCACGAAAGCGUGGGUAUCGAACAGGAUUAGAUACCCCAGUAGUC